Molecule: ribosomal RNA, 440 nt
Filed under: uncultured bacterium
Lineage: Bacteria
Description: partial 16S ribosomal RNA
Rfam family: Bacterial small subunit ribosomal RNA
Source: RNAcentral
CCUACGGGCGGCAGCAGUAGGGAAUAUUGCUCAAUGGGGGAAACCCUGAAGCAGCAACGCCGCGUGGAGGAUGAAGGUUUUAGGAUUGUAAACUCCUUUUGUCAGAGAAGAUUAUGACGGUAUCUAACGAAUAAGCACCGGCUAACUCCGUGCCAGCAGCCGCGGUAAUACGUAGGGUGCAAGCGUUACUCGGAAUCACUGGGCGUAAAGAGUGCGUAGGCGGGGUAAUAAGUCAGAUGUGAAAUCCUGUGGCUUAACCACCGAACUGCUUUUGAAACUGUUACGCUGGAGUGCGGGAGAGGUAAGUGGAAUUCUUAGUGUAGGGGUGAAAGCCGUAGAGAUCAGGAGGAAUACUAAUUGCGAAGGCGGCCUACUGGAACGUUACUGACGCUGAGGCACGAAAGCGUGGGGAGCAAACAGGAUUAGAUACCCGAGUAGUC